UCGAGGAUCUUCGGCAAUGGGCGCAAGCCUGACCGAGCGACGCCGCGUGUGCGAUGAAGGCCUUCGGGUUGUAAAGCACUGUCGAGGGGGAGAAAGCCCCGCAAGGGGUUGAUCUAUCCCUGGAGGAAGCACGGGCUAAGUUCGUGCCAGCAGCCGCGGUAAGACGAACCGUGCGAACGUUGUUCGGAAUCACUGGGCUUAAAGGGCGCGUAGGCGGGCGGUCAAGUCUGUGGUGAAAUCCUUCGGCUCAACCGGAGAAUAGCUGGAGAUACUGGCCGUCUCGAGGGGGGUAGGGGCAUGUGGAACUUCCGGUGGAGCGGUGAAAUGCGUAGAUAUCGGAAGGAACGCCGGUGGCGAAAGCGACGUGCUGGACCCUUACUGACGCUGAGGCGCGAAAGCCAGGGGAGCAAACGG
RNAcentral lists this ribosomal RNA (414 nucleotides) under uncultured bacterium. RNAcentral describes it as "bacterial SSU rRNA". It matches the Rfam family "Bacterial small subunit ribosomal RNA", at positions 355 to 775 of the family's 1533-position model. The record is from RNAcentral.